RNAcentral lists this long non-coding RNA (977 nucleotides) under Dermacentor andersoni. Its description in RNAcentral is "uncharacterized LOC126517814". The record is from RNAcentral. Lineage: Eukaryota; Metazoa; Arthropoda; Arachnida; Ixodida; Ixodidae.
GCUUUUUUACCUCAGGCAAAUAGGCAGUUGAUUUUUUAAAAAUUUGAUUGUUGAAGCUGCUUUUUAGUCAUAGCGUCAAGGUUUUUGUACUUGAUUAACCACCGACAGCCUAUUGGUAUCGAUGUGUUUCCUGGCCGUUGGCGUUCGAAUACCACGGCGGUAAAACAUUUUCGAAAGCAUGCUGGUUUCGUCUCCGAGUCAUUACAUAGACUUGCUGUAAAGAGGUCUACUCUGAGCAAAAAAUAGUGCCUCAUUUUGUUUAGGCGUUGAUUAUCAUAAUGAAUGCGGCGGAGGUUGAAGGAGUACGCUUGAAGGUACGUUUUUAUGCCGUUGAUCUCCAUAACACCGUAAGUACGCAAACCGAUGUCACAGAACACCCGAUGCAUCAUUGUGUGUUCUCCGUCAUCGCUUGUUUGCUGUACGCCUACUAAUUCUUCAUUUCUUCUUCAAGUGUUGUAUCCUCCUUUUGUCCUUGCUCUCUUGUGCUUCACUUACAGUAUAUCGUUCCGUCAGCUGUAAUGCGCAUUUGCAAAACCAAUACGUUUGAUAAGACGCAGUGGUUAUCAUAAUUUCACUACACGUGUAUUAAGCUGGCACAUAUGGUUCAGAUACAGAUACCUGUAUGCGAACUUGCACGACGUUGAUGCGGAGAUUAGCAUAAUUAUGACACCCGUAAGGAAGAGGCAGCUGACGGCCGUAUAAGCUGUUGCGUUCUUUCCGCCAAACUACCCGGCCUGGUAGUGCUGUAAAGAUGCUGUAUAAAAGUGACACGCGGUGACAGGGAAAUUAUUAUGCUUAGCAGCCGACCGUACGUUUUGUAGCUUAGGUCUUCUUUCUUGUGCUUUUGUGCUACCCUUAUUAAUGAGCCAUUUCUUGACUAUGUUCUUGACUAUGUAACCGCGUUUGUGUGGAUGCGUAGACGUGUGCUUUUCGUUGUACUUGUAAAAUGCAAAUAAAAUAUUUUCAGGCUUACUCAA